Molecule: transfer RNA, 85 nt
Filed under: Felis catus (domestic cat)
Lineage: Eukaryota; Metazoa; Chordata; Mammalia; Carnivora; Felidae
Also listed under: 1 other name
Rfam family: tRNA
About the family: Transfer RNA (tRNA) molecules are approximately 80 nucleotides in length. Their secondary structure includes four short double-helical elements and three loops (D, anti-codon, and T loops).
Source: Rfam by way of RNAcentral
ACCUGGGUGGCUCAGUCAGUUAAGCAUCUGACUUCAACUCAGGUCAUGAUCUCCCAGUUCGUGGGUUCAAGCCCCACCUCUGGCU